RNAcentral lists this ribosomal RNA (499 nucleotides) under uncultured Actinomycetes bacterium. Its description in RNAcentral is "bacterial SSU rRNA". It matches the Rfam family "Bacterial small subunit ribosomal RNA", at positions 963 to 1463 of the family's 1533-position model. Lineage: Bacteria; Bacillati; Actinomycetota; Actinomycetes. The record is from RNAcentral.
GAAGAACCUUACCAAGGCUUGACAUAUAGAGGAAAAGCGUAGAAAUACGCUCCCCGCAAGGUCUCUAUACAGGUGGUGCAUGGUUGUCGUCAGCUCGUGUCGUGAGAUGUUGGGUUAAGUCCCGCAACGAGCGCAACCCUCGUCCUAUGUUGCCAGCACGUAAUGGUGGGAACUCAUGGGAGACUGCCGGGGUCAACUCGGAGGAAGGUGGGGAUGACGUCAAAUCAUCAUGCCCCUUAUGUCUUGGGCUUCACGCAUGCUACAAUGGCCGAUACAAAGGGCUGCGAUACCGCAAGGUGGAGCGAAUCCCAUAAAGUCGGUCUCAGUUCGGAUUGAGGUCUGCAACUCGACCUCAUGAAGUCGGAGUCGCUAGUAAUCGUAGAUCAGCAACGCUACGGUGAAUACGUUCCCGGGCCUUGUACACACCGCCCGUCAAGUCACGAAGUCGGUAACACCCGAAAGCCAGUGGCCCAACCGCAAGGAGGGAGCUGUCGAAGGU